AUUGAACGCUGGCGGCAGGCCUAACACAUGCAAGUCGAGCGGUAGCAGGCCUUCGGGCGCUGACGAGCGGCGGACGGGUGAGGAACACGUAGGAAUUUGCCUGGUAGUGGGGGAUAGCCCAGAGAAAUUUGGAGUAAUACCGCAUAUGCCCUGAGGGGGAAAGUGGGGGACCGCAAGGCCUCACGCUAUCAGAGAAGCCUGCGUCGGAUUAGCUAGUUGGUAGGGUAAAGGCCUACCAAGGCGACGAUCCGUAGCUGGUCUGAGAGGAUGAUCAGCCACACUGGGACUGAGACACGGCCCAGACUCCUACGGGAGGCAGCAGUGGGGAAUAUUGGACAAUGGGCGAAAGCCUGAUCCAGCCAUGCCGCGUGUGUGAAGAAGGCCUCGGUU
Molecule: ribosomal RNA, 390 nt
Filed under: uncultured bacterium
Lineage: Bacteria
Description: bacterial SSU rRNA
Rfam family: Bacterial small subunit ribosomal RNA
Source: RNAcentral